UGGGGAAUAUUGGACAAUGGGCGAAAGCCUGAUCCAGCCAUGCCGCGUGAGUGAUGACGGCCCUAGGGUUGUAAAGCUCUUUCAACGGUGAAGAUAAUGACGGUAACCGUAGAAGAAGCCCCGGCUAACUUCGUGCCAGCAGCCGCGGUAAUACGAAGGGGGCUAGCGUUGUUCGGAAUAACUGGGCGUAAAGCGCGCGUAGGCGGAUUGUUUAGUUAGGGGUGAAAUCCCGGGGCUCAACCCCGGAACUGCCUUUAAUACUGGCAAUCUAGAGUUCGAGAGAGGUGAGUGGAAUUCCGAGUGUAGAGGUGAAAUUCGUAGAUAUUCGGAGGAACACCAGUGGCGAAGGCGGCUCACUGGCUCGAUACUGACGCUGAGGUGCGAAAGCGUGGGGAGCAAACAGGAUUAGAUACCCCCGUAGUCC
This 424-nucleotide ribosomal RNA is filed under the name uncultured prokaryote. RNAcentral's name for it is "bacterial SSU rRNA". It matches the Rfam family "Bacterial small subunit ribosomal RNA", at positions 355 to 796 of the family's 1533-position model. The record is from RNAcentral.